CCAUAAGUUAACCUUACAACAUAUUGUGAGAGAGAGAGAGAGAAUGAUAUUUAGGGUUGGAAGUGGCUUGUGCAUCUCUUUAUCCUUUCUGAUGAUCAUAGCUUUCUCUACUAUGCUAUGUGUUAAUGCUAGAGACACUCUUUUCUUCUCAUCAAAAUAUGAAGGUUCGGACACUGGUGGGAGGUCAUUAUUGACAAUAAACCUUGAAGACUAUGGUGAGCCAACAGCAAAUCAUGGGCAUGAUCCUGCUUUCAACAAAGCUGGUGGUAGAGAGCAUUCCCAUGUGGGAAGAAGCCGCAAAGGCUGAGAUUUUUAUUAGCCAUCUUAUCAUAAAUAUCUAUUUAUUAUAAUUAUAAUAUAUAUAAUUUUAAAA
Molecule: long non-coding RNA, 373 nt
Organism: Arachis stenosperma
Lineage: Eukaryota; Viridiplantae; Streptophyta; Magnoliopsida; Fabales; Fabaceae
Exons: 2
Source: RefSeq, a predicted model, not a curated record